RNAcentral lists this long non-coding RNA (1390 nucleotides) under Meriones unguiculatus (Mongolian gerbil). Its description in RNAcentral is "lncRNA (ENSMUGG00000013545.1)". The record is from RNAcentral. Lineage: Eukaryota; Metazoa; Chordata; Mammalia; Rodentia; Muridae.
ACCAUGAUUUCCUUAGGAUAUUGAACUUUGUAUUUUUGUUUUGUUUAUUUUUUAUUUAUUUAUUUAUUUUUGAGACAUGGUUUCUAGAACUCACAGAGAUCCUCUAGCCUCUGCCUCCCUGAGUGCUGGGAUUACAAGUAUGUGCUACCACACCUGGCUCUGAACUUGGUAUUCUCACGGUUUUGUUUUUUGUUUUGUUUUUGCUAUUUUUGUUUCGUUUUUCAAGACAGUUUUUCUCUGUGUAGCUCUGGCUGUCCUGGAACUUGCUCUGUAAACCAGGCUGGCCUUGAACUCAGUGAUCCACGGGUGUUCAAGCCAUCAGUGCUCGGCUUUAUACUCAAGUUAAGGCUCCCUGGUCCAGAUGGCAGUAAAUAUUUAAAUCAGUGGUUCUGCCAAGCAACCCAUUUGUAAAAUGAAACUUUAAAAUGAUAGAAUUUGCUGUUACCUGUUUUGUUUGUGAGUUUUCUUUCGUUUCCUUUUGAGCUUAGAUUCUACAUAGCCCAGAAUGGCCUUGAACUGAUCUUGAUCUUGCCUUAGCCUCCCAAAUGUUAGGAUUACAAGUGUGAACUAGCAGGCCUGUCUUCCCUGCUCUUUUUUGUUUGUUCUUUUUUGAUACCUGGUCUCACUUUGUAGCUCUGGCUAUCAGGGAACUCAGAUCUGCCUCUUCCUGAGUAGUUUUGGGAUUAAAGGCAUGAACUACCAUGCCCAGCCUUACUUGUUUUUGUUUGUUUGUUUAGCUCUGGCAAGUACAUAAUGGAGUCAUCUGGUGAUUGGAAUUGAAUGUAGGCCACUGUGAAAUGGCAAAGGCAUUUAGAACUUAUGCAGUAAUCUAUCACUUCUCAAUUUACAUGUAAUAUUGCUGGAAAUUUCAGGGUACAGAUUGUCCAGAAAAUCUUUGGUAUGUGUGUGAUCUCCGCACUGAAAAGGCCGAGGCAAGAGGAUUUGACAUUUCCAGCAAUGAUCUCUAAACUGGGAGUUCAGGUGGUUUUGUGUAUGCAUGUGAGUGAGUACAUGAACAUAUAUGCAGAUGGAGGUCAGAAGUUGCUGUUUUGCUGUUGCAUGUCUUCCUGUUGGUCUGACAGAGGUGAUGAGGGAAUGAAGAAAGGACAGACACACAUACAGAAAAGCUGGGAUCGGAUGGACCAUGCACUCUGAUGGAGACGCAGCAGGAGAAGCCCAGGGACUCUGUGUCUAUUUUAAACAUCUCAGUGGAGGAGGCGAGUUUACUGUACAGACCAGGGGGGAACAGGCUGGCUGAUCUCAGUAGGGGGUUUCUAUAGGGAAGCAGUCUCAGGUUGUAAGCUGAGGAGGCAGCUGCAGUCCACACUUCAUGUACACAGUGUCAACAUCUACACAUGGACUAGGGAAGGCUUUGCUGUUUCCAUGGGGC